RNAcentral lists this ribosomal RNA (370 nucleotides) under uncultured Megasphaera sp. RNAcentral's name for it is "bacterial SSU rRNA". It matches the Rfam family "Bacterial small subunit ribosomal RNA", at positions 179 to 525 of the family's 1533-position model. The record is from RNAcentral. Lineage: Bacteria; Bacillati; Bacillota; Negativicutes; Veillonellales; Veillonellaceae.
CCUUUCGUCGCAUGACGGAAAGAAGAAAAGGAAUGGCUCUAUACAAAGCUAUCGCCGAAGAGGGGUUUUGCGUCUGAUUAGCUGGUUGGAGGGGUAACGGCCCAACAAGGCGAUGAUCAGUAGCCGGUCUGAGAGGAUGAACGGCCACAUUGGGACUGAGACACGGCCCAGACUCCUACGGGAGGCAGCAGUGGGGAAUCUUCCGCAAUGGACGAAAGUCUGACGGAGCAACGCCGCGUGAGUGAAGAAGGUCUUCGGAUUGUAAAGCUCUGUUAUACGGGACGAAAAAGACGGAUGCCAACAGUAUCCGUCCGUGACGGUACCGUAAGAGAAAGCCACGGCUAACUACGUGCCAGCAGCCGCGGUAAAU